GGAGGAAUAUUGGGUCAAUGGGCGCAAGCCUGAACCAGCCAAGUAGCGUGAAGGAUGACUGCCCUAUGGGUUGUAAACUUCUUUUAUGCGGGAAUAACCUCGACCAUGUAUGGUCGUUUGCAUGUACCGCAAGAAAAAGCAUCGGCUAAUUCCGUGCCAGCAGCCGCGGUAAUACGGAAGAUGCGAGCGUUAUCCGGAUUUAUUGGGUUUAAAGGGAGCGUAGGCGGACUAUCAAGUCAGUUGUGAAAGUCAUCGGCUCAACCGCUGAAUUGCAGUUGAAACUGGUAGUCUUGAGUGCACAUGAGGAUGGUGGAAUUCGUAGUGUAGCGGUGAAAUGCUUAGAUAUUAGGAG
RNAcentral lists this ribosomal RNA (352 nucleotides) under uncultured Bacteroides sp. Its description in RNAcentral is "bacterial SSU rRNA". It matches the Rfam family "Bacterial small subunit ribosomal RNA", at positions 355 to 703 of the family's 1533-position model. Lineage: Bacteria; Pseudomonadati; Bacteroidota; Bacteroidia; Bacteroidales; Bacteroidaceae. The record is from RNAcentral.